UUUUAGGGAGACCAUCUGAAGCAAGACUGAACCUAAAACAGAAGUCUUGUAUCAGUUAUCCCUGGUCGUUCGAGAUAAUAAAGUCAAAGCUUUCAAACUAUUAACUGGUUCGGUAGAUGGGCUAUUAGCUCAGUUGGUUAGAGCGCACCCCUGAUAAGGGUGAGGUCCCUGGUUCAAAUCCAGGAUGGCCCACCUGUAAAAAGAGUAAUGAAGACUAAGAAAUGAGCAAUGAAUCAAAAAUUCAGAGUUCAGGAAACAGAAAUCAUGAACUUACUUAGUGGGGGUAUAGCUCAGCUGGUAGAGCGCCUGCCUUGCACGCAGGAAGUCAGCGGUUCGAGUCCGCUUACCUCCACUCUCACUAAGGUAGACCACUAAAAAAGCCAAAUAUCCAGGAAACAGAAAUCAGCACCUAGACCAGUGUAAAAACUUGUCAGAAUGCUGGAGUCUUGACUCCAGAAAGAACCUUGAAAACUGCAUAGAAAUUAAGUCAUCAUCAAGCUUUGUAAGUGAUCCGAGAAAUCAGAAAAUCUUACAAAGCAGACGACCAUCAAAAAACAAA
RNAcentral lists this transfer RNA (559 nucleotides) under Microcoleus autumnalis KOVACIK-ANT 2004/50. RNAcentral describes it as "Phormidium autumnale KOVACIK-ANT 2004/50 partial 16S-23S ribosomal RNA intergenic spacer". The stretch from base 280 to 352 matches the Rfam family "tRNA". The record is from RNAcentral. Lineage: Bacteria; Bacillati; Cyanobacteriota; Cyanophyceae; Oscillatoriales; Microcoleaceae.